UACGACAUUUAAGUUAAUGUGUUAUGAGUAGCGUUAUCCUUGAUAGCCUUUCGACCGUUUCUUGCUGAGUGCUUCCAUGAAUUAAAUAGUGAUGUAGGCUUUUGUAUACCUGCCGAAAGCGGCAAUGUUUAUUAGUUAUAUAGGAAAAGACACAUGUCUGACAAAAUAAAGGGUCAAGUGAAGUGGUUUAACGAAUCUAAAGGCUUUGGUUUCAUCACUCCUUCUGAUGGCAGCAAGGAUGUAUUCGUUCACUUCUCUGCCAUUCAAGGAAAUGGAUUCAAAACCCUGGCUGAAGGGCAAAAUGUAGAAUUUACUAUUGAAGAUGGUUCGAAAGGCCCAUCUGCAGCGAAUGUAACUGCUCUUUAAGAUUAGUUAAAUAAAUGGAUUUCUUGAAGCCUGUUGUGCAAGCGGCAGGCUUCUUU
This 422-nucleotide small RNA is filed under the name Arsenophonus endosymbiont of Bemisia tabaci Q2. RNAcentral describes it as "cspA thermoregulator". It matches the Rfam family "cspA thermoregulator". Lineage: Bacteria; Pseudomonadati; Pseudomonadota; Gammaproteobacteria; Enterobacterales; Morganellaceae. The record is from Rfam by way of RNAcentral.